GGUUCUUUUGCAAUUCCGUGUGACAAAUCCUAUUUAAAUUAAAAAGAGCAUGAGUGUUUUACAUUAUAAUAAAGUGAUAAAAAAAAUUAUCUAUUUUUUACUUGUAAAGGAGGCAAAACAUGGUUCAAACAUUCAAGUUUGCUUAUGCUAUGAUCCUUGUUCUUUAUCUAUUUUUUGUUGUAACCAACAUUAGCGCAUUUAGUGCUCCGUGCAAACACUUCUUUGAUUGUUUUCCAUUUUGUCGAUAUCCUCUAGUUGAAGUAUGCGAAAAUGAAGUUUGUGUGUGCAAAGAGAUUGAAUCAAUCGAUCCUAUGAGAAAGAGAUCAAAUCAAUGACAUACACAUUAAUUGUCCAUGUAAAAAAGAAUAAACAAGUCAUUCUGAAGAGAUCAUGAAACUCAUCAAAAAUCAUGUCGGAAUCACUAAACAAUGGAGUCUAGCAAUGGUUUGGGUUGUGUGGAGCAAUUGAUAGGUGGUCAAAUGUCUUGCCAACUAUUCAUUGAGUGGUGCGCCUGGCAAGUGGCAAUUAACGAGCUGAUAGAACGAUGAACGUGUAAAUGUAAAAAUUAAGGGUGAUCAAAAUGCAAAUCUAUAGAAAUAUUAUUACAAUAUAAAAAUUGAGAGUUGUCAAAAUGUAAAUCUAUAGAAAUAUUAGUGCAAUUUUCUGAAAUUCUGCACACUCUGCCACACUGGAUCAGCCCUUGCAACCAAGGCUACAUCUUAUGUAGAGUUAUAACUAAAUAUUAUUUAUUUUGUGUUUUAUGAAGAUAUAAAGAUCUAGGGUUAAAAAAUUUAUAUACCUUUGUGUUACAUAAAACACACAUGUUUACAUAAAGGUAUGAAGGAAAAAAGAAAAAAAAACCACAACUAGAGGCAUCAAGAUAUUCUUCAAUCAAAGAAGAGAAUGAAGACGAAAGAUGACAUAGAACUUCAGGGAGGUGAAGAAAUCACACCAUCACUUGUCAAAGCUAUUGAAGAUUCUAGGUUUGUAAUUUCAUCAAAUGUAUGAUUCAAAUAUUCAAAUAAACUCAUAUUUUCAUCUCUAACAAUAUUA
This is a long non-coding RNA of Cicer arietinum (chickpea), 1053 nucleotides long. RefSeq lists it as uncharacterized. The record is from RefSeq and is a predicted model, not a curated record. NCBI's taxonomy places the organism in Eukaryota, Viridiplantae, Streptophyta, Magnoliopsida, Fabales, Fabaceae.